AGAGUUUGAUCAUGGCUCAGAACGAUGCCGGCGGCAGGCCUAACACAUGCAAGUCGAGCGCACUCUUCGGAGUGAGCGGCGGACGGGUUAGUAACGCGUGGGAACAUACCCUUUUCUACGGAAUAGCCUCGGGAAACUGAGAGUAAUACCGUAUACGCCCUUCGGGGGAAAGAUUUAUCGGUGAAGGAUUGGCCCGCGUUUGAUUAGAUAGUUGGUGGGGUAAUGGCCUACCAAGUCUACGAUCAAUAGCUGGUUUGAGAGGAUGAUCAGCAACACUGGGACUGAGACACGGCCCAGACUCCUACGGGAGGCAGCAGUGGGGAAUCUUAGACAAUGGGCGCAAGCCUGAUCUAGCCAUGCCGCGUGAGUGACGAAGGCCUUAGGGUCGUAAAGCUCUUUCGCCAGGGAUGAUAAUGACAGUACCUGGUAAAGAAACCCCGGCUAACUCCGUGCCAGCAGCCGCGGUAAUACGGAGGGGGUUAGCGUUGUUCGGAAUUACUGGGCGUAAAGCGUACGUAGGCGGAUUGGAAAGUAUGGGGUGAAAUCCCAGGGCUCAACCCUGGAACUGCCCUGUAAACUAUCAGUCUAGAGUUCGAGAGAGGUGAGUGGAAUUCCAAGUGUAGAGGUGAAAUUCGUAGAUAUUUGGAGGAACACCAGUGGCGAAGGCGGCUCACUGGCUCGAUACUGACGCUGAGGUGCGA
Molecule: ribosomal RNA, 701 nt
Filed under: uncultured bacterium
Lineage: Bacteria
Description: bacterial SSU rRNA
Rfam family: Bacterial small subunit ribosomal RNA
Source: RNAcentral